RNAcentral lists this non-coding RNA (531 nucleotides) under Pongo abelii (Sumatran orangutan). The record is from RNAcentral. Lineage: Eukaryota; Metazoa; Chordata; Mammalia; Primates; Hominidae.
CACCUCUGUCAGAGUAAGGAUCUUUUCUUCUCCACAUUCCAAUACCUUCGAAAACACACGAGGAGAGGAAAGGGAGAAUAAACACAUCGAGGUUGUUUACAGAAUAGCAAAAAAAAGUAUGCAACUAGAAAUGAAAAAACAGGUCAGCGAUACUGAAUGGGUAUAAAGUUUCAGUUCUGUAAGAUGAAAAAGUUCAGAAGAUUGCUUGCAUAACAAUGUGAAUGUGCUGACCACUACUGGACAGGAGAUAUAAAGAUAGUUAUGAAGGAGCACAGUUUAAGAACCAGAUAAUAGAAGGAGGACACGACCAUACAGUCACCCCUUGGUGUUCUCAAGGGAUCGGUUCCAGGACCCUGCUUGGGUAAUGAAAUCCGCACCUACUCAAGUCUUGCUGUCUGCCCCCUGGAAAAUGCAGACACGAAAAGUUGGCCCCCGGUAUCCACGGGUUUCGCAUCCCUCAAAUACUGUACUUUCUACCCGUAACUGGACCUGUGCAGUUCUGACCUCAACUAUUAAAAUUUGAAAGGCAAA